UUUCAGUGGGAUUUGGGUUAAUAUAGUGAGCAAAGGACUCCUGUUGAUUUGUGUUGAACUGUGGAUGUGGGACUGAUGCAUUAAGCAGACUUUUUUUUUUUUUUUUUUUUGCUUAUGAAGUGUAUCUAUGUAUCACUAUCCUGCGGUCUUUACUGAAAUUGGUUUAACUAGAGAAGCAAGCGGUUGGCAACAUUAAUCUCUCGACAGGGUGUCUAACUCGAUGUUACAGUGUGUUUGACCCUGAAUUAAUUUUAUGCCGGAAUACACCUUUUUAAAAAUUUAACUAUACACAACCUUGUGGCUUGCCCAAAGUCAGAAGAUUUUUGUUUUUAUUUCCUUAAGCAGCAUCUUGUGUGGUCAUCAAACAAACAAACAGUCAAAAAAUGAAUAAUUUGCUCAUUUAUCCCAAAGUGUUUGCUUAUGUUUGGUUUUCUAUAGGGAAUGUAUUGCUUUUAUUACACAAGCACAGCUAUCAUUUCAUCCAUAUCCUCUUUCACCCAUUGUUGCCCUUUUGAUAUUUGUUCCCUUUUCAUUUGAGUUUUGGUUUCUUGAAAAAAAAAAAGUGUUGCUUCCUCCCAGCAGGCUGCAGAGUUGUGACAGCCAAGUCUGAGUGGCACUCCUGGUUUUGGCAGCAGCUAACACACAAGAGGCUGUGUUGAUGAGUUUAGACUGGGGGGGUCAUGUCAAAGUCAAAGCCUAGUUCUAAGCAAAGAGAGUUCACCCAUUUUGAGAUGUGAUGAAUUAUUACACUCACAUGCACAGAUACAAAGUCAUGAGUUUGGUUUGGCAAUAAAAUAAAAACUAGACAGUGUAACAGAAACUUAGAGAAGAGUAGAGUGAAACUUUACUCAAAGAGGACAGCAGGUGGAUCAACAACAAACAGGUGUAAAGGUCCUUACACACCGGGCGAGAAUUCGCCAGGCGAAUUAUUCGCCUUUUUUUAAAACAGCAUAAAGUCAAUGCAAGCUUCCACACCGGCUGCGAUUUUUCCGCGGGGCGAAAAGCCGCUUUUAUUUUUUCGCUCCUGUGUCGAAUUUUUCGGAUAUUUGCAGGCGAAUAUCUGAACCUGCUCGACCUCUGGCCAAUCAAAAGUCAUGUUGUUGAUGACAUCACAGACCCAUACGGCUGGAGGAGAGGGAGAAGUUUGAGAUUAUGAAAACGCAGACAAAGACAGCUGAGGUGCAUCCAAAACUCUUUCGAAUUACUAAUGAAGUAGUUUUCUCACAAGAUGACACUCUCUUGUCUUCCUUAGGAGACAGGUGUCAUGCACACUUCACAGGGUGACCGCCUGCGACUUUAUUAAUUCGCUUUGCAAAAAAUAUACGCAUAUUCGCUUUGCGGCCGGUGUGUAUAUGCGAAAGCGAUUUUUCGGACCGGCGAAUAUUCGCAAUUUUCGUCUCGCUUUUUCGCUUCACUCCGCAAAUUCGCCGGUGUGUAAGGACCUUUAGACUUGAAGGGCCUUGACACCACCAGAGCGUUGGAUUUGAGGCAGCAGUGGCUGUAAUGAAGCUGAGACAAUGAGACCAAUGAGCAGACUGAGCUGACCAGCUGCAGAGGAAAAAGCUGCAGGAGGAAAUAAGCACAGGCCCAGUGUCACUUCUUCACUUCAGUCUAACUUACACAUCUUUAUCUUCUACCUUUCUUUUCACGUUGUUGUGCUCUUAGUGAAGUCAUACAGGUGAAUUAAUGAUGCGCUCAUAACCAUAAAUAUUCAUGAUUUCUGAAAAACUUGCCAGAAAGGGAGCAAAACACUUCACAUGCACCAUUCCCACAAUCACAUUUAAGAUAUAUAUCCUCCUAAUUUAGCACUCAAUUUAUGCUGCAAGACUUGUGAUCUCUGCCUCUACUUUGCUAUUACCACCAUGCUGCUGCUGUUAAAAGCAUAAUCACACCAGCUCAUUCACUGCAAUGUUCCCUCUUAGUGGGAGAUAAGGUAUCAACAAGCAUUUGGUAAAAGUGAAUCUGACUGACUGUGAACAGCUAGGAUUAGUUCAGCCCUGAUGUCCAACCAUGUGCAUUACCCCACAAAAGCUUGGUUCCCUACUGGAGCCUGCAGCCAAAUGUCAAGCCAUGAAAAGCAUCCAAGUAAAUAAGAUAACUUCUAUUCUCUUUGGGUUUUAAAUUUCAGUCCCAGUCUUGUACCCAGUGUUGGUCAAGUUAACAUUUAGUGAUUUCUUCUCCAAGAAAGUAAUCCUGUUACUUUACUAAUCAUUCAAUGUCAAAAGUAAUUAGUUACUCUACUAAUUACUUUACUUAGUUAUUUUUCAAAAACAAUGAUGCACAACCUGAACUCCUAGACCUUUUAACCUAAUUCUAUUCUAUGGAAUAUUUUGCAUAUUCCAUCAUAUAAAAUUGUAUCAAAUUAAAAGUCACUUUUUCAAAACUUGUUUUAUUAGUUUCUAUUUUUUAACUGUAUGCACAUCGUAUCGAACAGUCUCUAAUUUGAAGAAAAUUGUUUAACAUUUUAACCCUCUUUCAACUCCUGUGCACUGACAGCAACUCCUUCUUCUGUUAACUUAUACACUCACCGGCCACUUUAUUAGGUACACCAUGCUAGUAACGGGUUGGACCCCCUUUUGCCUUCAGAACUGCCUCAAUUCUUCGUGGCAUAGAUUCAACAAGGUGCUGGAAGCAUUCCUCAGAGAGCUUGGUCCAUAUUGACAUGAUGGCAUCACACAGUUGCCGCAGAUUUGUCGGCUGCACAUCCAUGAUGCGAAUCUCCCGUUCCACCACAUCCCAAAGAUGCUCUAUUGGAUUGAGAUCUGGUGACUGUGGAGGCCAUUUGAGUACAGUGAACUCAUUGUCAUGUUCAAGAAACCAGUCUGAGAUGAUUCCAGCUUUAUGACAUGGCGCAUUAUCCUGCUGAAAGUAGCCAUCAGAAGUUGGGUACAUUGUGGUCAUAAAGGGAUGGACAUGGUCAGCAACAAUACUCAGGUAGGCUGUGGCGAUGCAACGAUGCUCAAUUGGUACCAAGGGGCCCAAAGAGUGCCAAGAAAAUAUUCCCCACACCAUGACACCACCAGCCUGAACCGUUGAUACAAGGCAGGAUGGAUCCAUGCUUUCAUGUUGUUGACGCCAAAUUCUGACCCUACCAUCCGAAUGUCGCAGCAGAAAUCGAGACUCAUCAGACCAGGCAACGUUUUUCCAAUCUUCUAUUGUCCAAUUUCGAUGAGCUUGUGCAAAUUGUAGCCUCAGUUUCCUGUUCUUAGCUGAAAGAAGUGGCACCCGGCGUGGUCUUCUGCUGCUGUAGCCCAUCUGCCUCAAAGUUCAACGUACUGUGCGUUCAGAGAUGCUCUUCUGCCUACCUUGGUUGUAACGGGUGGUUAUUUGAGUCACUGUUGCCUUUCUAUCAGCUCGAACCAGUCUGGCCAUUCUCCUCUGACCUCUGGCAUCAACAAGGCAUUUCCGCCCACAGAACUGCCGCUCACUGGAUAUUUUUUCUUUUUCGGACCAUUCUCUGUAAACCCUAGAGAUGGUUGUGCGUGAAAAUCCCAGUAGAUCAGCAGUUUCUGAAAUACUCAGACCAGCCCUUCUGGCACCAACAACCAUGCCAUGUUCAAAGUCACUCAAAUCACCUUUCUUCCCCAUACUGAUGCUCGGUUUGAACUGCAGGAGAUUGUCUUGACCAUGUCUACAUGCCUAAAUGCACUAAGUUGCCGCCAUGUGAUUGGCUGAUUAGAAAUUAAGUGUUAACGAGCAGUUGGACAGGUGUACCUAAUAAAGUGGCCGGUGAGUGUAUUUCCCUAUUCAGCGGCAAUAAGUAUUUUCACUUAUUUAGCAGGAGAGUGCCUGUGUCAGUCAUGUCAGUAGGGGGAUCAAAUUCCUGUGCUAGCUUGCUGGGUGCUUGCUCAGAUUCGAGGUAAAUUUUAUGCAGAGUGAACAGCGACAGUCUCACAAAACGCAAUCACGGUUUAGUAACGCAGCCUGUUUGUGGGAAAGUAACAGUAAUCUAAUUGCUGUUUUUACAAUUGUAAUCCCUUACUUUACUCAUUACUUGAAAAAAGUAACCGGAUUACAGUAACACGUUAUGCGUUACUGCCCAUCAGUGCUUGUACCUGAUCAUCACACUGCAAAACAAGUUGAUCUCAUGCAAAACAAUCAUGUUCUCCAGUGCGUGUACUUUAUAUUGUCUGUAUGAUUGCAGUCCGUGAACUGACCAUUUUUUCAGAAAAAUAUAAAACAGUGUUAAACUAGAUUGUAUUUGUUGUCCUCAUCUUACAUUAGUUUCACUCUGUGUCCAUCUGGAUCAACUAGGCUUUGAGUCUGUUCACUGUAAAAGUCUGUGCUGUCCUUACUUUAACCUCCCCUAACAGCAUCAAUCUGCAGAGACACAUCUAUGGACUGAUUCUGCUCAAUGAGCUGUCUGACCAACAUCAGUCAUUCCCAUAGAGACCUGCCACUAUUUUACUGUAACAUUCAUCUCCCUAAUGUGAGAAUUACACUAUUAAGAUGAUCUGUAUAUCAACCAGUCUUCAUUAUAACCAUUAAUAACUCCACAGCUGCUCUCACAGUCUCCUCACAUUCUCACCUUUUGUAACUUUCUAAUAUCAGAUCCUCCCUCAUCUGCAUCUCUCCCUCUAUGUCUCUCUCUCUCCCCCUUUCCUGGACAUCUUUCUGUCCAAAGCAAAUGGCGCACUAUACUCUCGCUCUUGAAAGAGUCACACAGGAAGGAGAGAAAUGACAGCACACACGUCAAUCAGCUGGAAGUGUGCAGUCCUUUAUUUCUUUACUGCUCUCUCAAUCAUGUUUUAAUCUUGAAUAUUUAGAGCUGAAACUCAACCUCUCUCUCUCUCUCUCUCUCCUGAGAAAGAGGAAAAGAAUUAAAUCUAAUACUUAGAAAUUUGAUAAGAUGGCAGGCUUUGAGCUUCACCGUCAGUGGAGGAAUCAGCAGAGAGCAGGCUGAAGAUUUGAAGGCAAAUAAACAAGUUUCUAUGUUUUAAUUUGCUUUUCUUCCUCCCUUUGGGUCCGCCUCUGUCUCCGAAACUCGUCUUUAAUUUGCUUCUCUUCCUUUUCUGUCCUCAAAUUCUGAAUCUCACCAGCUCUUAUGCUCUUUCAUUGUCUGUCUUUGCACUUUUGUUUCAAUUAGAUACUCAUUGUAUAAUCCAUCAUAUGUACAUUUUUGUAUGUAGUGUCUAGUUUGUGUUUUAAAACCAUUGUCUUUGUUGUAGCCACCACAAGCCUCCUUGCACACACACAAAUUCUGGGCCAGCUGCCUGACCCAGUCACAGUCUACUGUGAAAGUAUGUUAACUUUAUUGCUGUAUGUAUAUUUUGUGUGUAGUUGUCUAUCUCCUUGACCCCAAUCUUGACAAUCUUGUCCCCAUUCCUGUAAAUACAAUCCUCCAUCUACCCCAAGCUGAACUAAUGACUGAUGUUCAUACAAUGUAGCAGCUGCAAUGUGGGAAAAUGUCCCACAGUGAAAGAGAAAGUCAGCAGGGACAGAAGUUGAUUUUGUUUCCAUAGGACCAAAAGCAAAAAUCAGUCCACCUAAUGUGAGUCUACUUUUCUCUGUUUGGAAACAUACCGUUCUAGAUGAACCAAUUAAAAGUGUAAAGCAGUCAGUCUAACUGUUAAAGUGAGGAAACAAAAUCAACAUUUUCUUUAUCAUUUGGUUGGUUUAUUCAUUGAACCAGGACACCUCAAAGUCAGAUAAUUCUAUGUCAGCAUCAUGGAGAUCCAGAGGCUUAAUUUUGGAAUAAUUAUGUAAUAUUCAUUUAGUUAGUUCAGUUUUUACCUUAUCUUGUUAAUGUAUCUCUGUGAUGUGAGAUGCAAAAUCUACAAAAACCCUUAUAUAAUACCCUUAAUAAUAUUUACUUUGGAUGCUAGGGGUGGGAAUCACAAGAGGCCCCACGAUUCAAAACUAUUGCAAUACUUAAUGUUUUGUAAUAUAGUGAGUCUCGCAAUACUCCUUUUUGUUUUUUGUUGUACCAACUAUCUCCUGCUCUAUGAUGUUACC
RNAcentral lists this long non-coding RNA (5955 nucleotides) under Xyrichtys novacula (pearly razorfish). Lineage: Eukaryota; Metazoa; Chordata; Actinopteri; Labriformes; Labridae. The record is from RNAcentral.